This 2636-nucleotide ribosomal RNA is filed under the name Triticum aestivum (bread wheat). Its description in RNAcentral is "partial small subunit ribosomal RNA". Lineage: Eukaryota; Viridiplantae; Streptophyta; Magnoliopsida; Poales; Poaceae. The record is from RNAcentral.
UAUUGGGCAGAAAAGAUCGUCUCGCAUUCUCUCCCACGCACGCGACCUUCUCUCGUUCCACGCGCCAACGCAGCCGCCGCCUCCUCUGCUCCUUUCUCUCUGGAUCGCCAGAUCUGGGACGCCACCGGGAGGAGAUCAGAGAGGCCGCGGCAGAAGCACCAUUCUCGACGAGAUCCUGCACUCAGCGCCGCUACCGCCCUUUUCUCUUGUUUACAUACGCAGCGAUUUCUGUGUUUCCUUUCCAACGAAGGCAGCUCCGCAUCAGGCUGCACACGCACAUCUUCGUCUCCACCUCUCCCCCACAUGCCACCGCCUCCUCUCUCUCAACGCCGCCAGCCGCAGCCGCCUCUUCUUCCUCUCUCUCUCUCUCUCUGCUUGUCCUUGUCUCCCCCCUCGCUGAACAAGGCGCACACGAGCGGCGGUGGCAGCAGAUCUGUGAGAAACAUGGAAAAGGCAGGAGGUGGAAGUCCUCGCGGGAGUCAUCGUCCAUGAAGAACUGGAUCGGAAGCAGUUCGCGGCAUGAGGAGGCCAAGGGCCGGGAAGCGGUGGCACCGGCGACUGGCAAACCUCAUCGGCUACUGCUGCGACGGGGUCGAGCACCUGCUCUUCGCUGAGUUCAUGCCCAACGACACCCUCGCCAAGCACCUCUUCCACUAUUCCACUAUGUCACCGGCCUGCUCUCCCUCCCCUGCACCAGGCUCUUCGACCGGCUCCUUCGCACCGCCUUCCACUUCAAAGUUCAAACAGCUCAAAGACAAGAAAUUCAAGCGUUCUGUGCCUCUUUGAGGUAUUUUUGGCUGUACCAAAUUUCUGAAGAGGGAUGACACAUUCAGAAUUUCAGAUAGACUUGUGUCUUUUUGGUUGUAAUGGCAUAUGCUUGCUACAAUCUUUACUGACAAUGAGCAGUUGGAUUGGAUGCAGCUACACUCUUUAUUAAUGCAAGAAACAAAAGAGCUAUCUGAACUUGCCAAUCAUCACACAUAUAGAUGUUCCAUACUUGUAGCAGAUGUUCUUUGCUGCGAUGUGUGUCACUAAACUUAGCACCAACCAUGGAACAAGCUGCUAAACCGAACUCAUCAUCUGCAUUUGCUAGGCCUCAUUUUAUAGAACAAGAAACCGGCAGCAGUCAGAAAAUUACAUGCUUAUAGUAUGUACUAACAGUUGAAAACAUAUGCAGUUUGACUAUGUAUAUGAUCCUCCUGUUUACUUAUUUAUUUAUUGUCUCAAAUGUAAAUCUGUGAGGUUCACCCUGGCCGUUGUCAAGUCCUGACCAUGGCCACACUGCAGAAACAUCAAAUUCUGUUGAUGUCGAUUUUAUUGAUGAUAAAUGUCAGGUAUAAUCUUCUAUCUCCUUUUCAGUUACAUGUAUGUGUGUCUUUAUGUUCCGUGUUUCAAAUUAAAGCAUACAUCUUUCCCUUUUGUGAGUCUCAAGUGAGCUUCUACGGGUAUUCUCCAAUUAUACACCUACUGGCUAUAUAUUUCCCUACCAUGUUGCUUUUCCACCUCAAAUACCGAACUGAAUAUUUAUGUUUGUUAGAAGCUUAUGUAUGAUCAGACCUGAGACCUUAAGUCCAAAAUCACUGAUGUGCCACCCCUGACCAUGGUGUGUCCAUGAAGGGCUAGGAAUUUAUGUUCUAAUGUGAUCUAUUUGAUCUGUAGCCAGACGAAAUGCCGGCAUGCCUGUGCAGGUUGCCACUGAGCACUCUUAAUUUGGACAAGCUUCUUGAAACGAUUGUAGACUACUUUAUCUGUUGACUACAUUGUUUAAUCUUUUUUUUGAGCUUAUAUAAUAGUUUCCGUCUCAGCUAUUGGCACUACAAGAUAUCCUAAUAUAUAAUGUUUUGCCUGCCAGAAAUAUUGAUGAUAUUAUUGAUUACAGUAACAAAAAAAACUCUUACCUAUCCCUUAUUCUAUAUAUCUGAUUUGGAUUAUUUGAGGAAGUAAACAUUGGAAACGCAGUUUAGUUAAUAUUGGGUUCAUUUCUUUGGAGCGCUAAGCCAUGUAUUUGCAAUUUUAGUAACAGACUUAGUUUGUGUAAAAGAGAUAAGCGUUUGCUAGCUUUUUAGGCAUUAAAGAAAAACAAUGAAUCCCUUGCUACAUAUGCUAGGGUGAUGUCCAGGUAAGGCCUUGGCUUCCUUUGUAAAGAAGCGAGUAGCCAUUCUACUUUUGUGUAAGCUGAACAUAUGUUUUGAUGUAUUUCUUCAGUGAAUAACACCAGAUUUCCGUAGACUUGGCCUAUUUAUAUUGUGAUAUAUUUACAUAAUGCAUUCACCAAGUAAAUCACAAAGUAUGAUUCUAUACUGGAAAGGAACCGCUCAAAUCUGAUGUCCAUCAAAUACUUGGGUCAAUUGGUGCCUGUUCUUUGUUGCCCUCAGUGUGUUUUAGUUAUGAUUUUGCACCUUAUUGUGUUUGAUAAUCUAGGUAGAUUGAUUAUGCUCCUCGGUCAUGGUAUGUCUGACUGUAGGUGCUUCAUGGUUUAUAGAUUAAUGCCUCUAGAAAUAACGAACUUGUUGAGUGAAUUUGGAUCAGUAAAUGUGACUGAUGAACAAAGACCGCAAAGAAAGUAUGAUAUUUGUCGUCUUAUCAAUCCAUGUCAUGUAUUUAUGAACAUGUGUCAUGUGGGGCCAGCCCUAUAG